GUGAAUCAUCGAAUUUUUGAACGCAUAUUGCACUCCCUGGUAUUCCGGAGAGCAUGCCUGUUUGAGGGUCAGUUAAAUAAAAAUCGGGGUUUUUGUCACGCUCGGUGGUGACGCUUCGGAAUUGGGUCGUCUUUACCUUUGGGUUAAGUGCCUUAAAAUUUUUUGAAUGAAAUCUGUACGUAUUUAACUUUAUUUGGUACGUUUUGUAAUAUCGAAU
Molecule: unclassified non-coding RNA, 217 nt
Filed under: Glomeromycotina sp.
Lineage: Eukaryota; Fungi; Glomeromycota
Description: partial contains 5.8S ribosomal RNA and internal transcribed spacer 2
Rfam family: 5.8S ribosomal RNA (bases 1-71)
Source: RNAcentral